AAACCAUGCAUAGGGCAUUUGUGCAACAAAUCUUUAAAUCGCUCCCAAGCUUCAUACAAAAUUUUAAUCCUCUAAUUGCUUGAAAGAUGCGAUGUCAUUCCUCAUUCA
Molecule: small nucleolar RNA, 108 nt
Organism: Hibiscus syriacus
Lineage: Eukaryota; Viridiplantae; Streptophyta; Magnoliopsida; Malvales; Malvaceae
Source: RefSeq, a predicted model, not a curated record